RNAcentral lists this ribosomal RNA (540 nucleotides) under uncultured bacterium. Its description in RNAcentral is "bacterial SSU rRNA". It matches the Rfam family "Bacterial small subunit ribosomal RNA", at positions 345 to 879 of the family's 1533-position model. The record is from RNAcentral.
GAGGCAGCAGUGGGGAAUAUUGGACAAUGGGGGCAACCCUGAUCCAGCGACGCCGCGUGUGUGAAGAAGGCCUGCGGGUUGUAAAGCACUUCUAGUGGGAUGAAAAGCACAUUGCUAAUACCAGUGUGUCUUGACCUAACCCAAAGAAAAAGCACCGGCUAACUCUGUGCCAGCAGCCGCGGUAAUACAGAGGGUGCGAGCGUUAAUCGGAAUUACUGGGCGUAAAGCGUGCGUAGACGGUUAUUUAAGUCGGAUGUGAAAGCCCCGGGCUCAACCUGGGAAUUGCAUUCGAGACUGAAUAGCUAGGGUACGGUAGAGGGAAGUGGAAUUUCCGGUGUAGCGGUGAAAUGCGUAGAUAUCGGAAGGAACAUCAGUGGCGAAAGCGACUUCCUGGACCAGUACCGACGUUCAGGCACGAAAGCGUGGGAGCAAACAGGAUUAGAUACCCUGGUAGUCCACGCCAUAAACGAUGAGGACUAGACGUUGGAGGGGUAAGCCUUUCAGUGUCGUAGCUAACGCGCUAAGUCCUCCGCCUGGGGA